UGAUAAGCCUCACACCCCACAGGGUCCACACACACGUCAACACAGUCCUGGUCGGUGCACAUUUCCCAACCCCCUGGAGCGUAUCUCAACACCCCACUGCAGAGGCCCCCACCUCUCCACCAGUGCCCCCCACAGUUCACCUGGUCCUCACACAGGCCCUGCCCCACAGAGGCGACACCCUCACCUGUCUGUAGAGGAUCAAAGCACCCAGUCAAUGAAGCCGACAAGUAACCUGAGGGCUUGCUGUUGGGCGGGGUGGGUCCCUAGGGCAGGCUGCCUGCCCAGGCUGAACUGGAUUAAAUCUGCACGCUAAUAGGUGUGGCAGCCCUCUGGGCUAACAGGCCAGGGGAAGAACCUCAAUGGUGUCUUCUGGGGUCUGUGUCAGCACGCCUGGACCAGGUCAGAACAAUGGCCCCCACCGAUGUCUCAGUCUCCAGAGAGGACCCUCCUCUCACCAAGAUGCCCCCAGAGCCCACCAGGAAACUCAGCUAGAUUCAAGCUCACGCAGGAAGAGCGCUGAGUGAGAGGCAGCCGGCCACAGGCCCCGUGCUACUUGCAGCAUUUUUACUCGCCUUGUUUCCUCAUCACGGCAAUUUGACGAGGUUGCUUCGGUUCACAUUGUCUAUGGUGAGUGACUGAGAUGACGUCCCUGAGGCCGCCCAGCUGGAAACAGCCACGAGUCAAGCCCAGGCCUGGUUCCAAGUUCAGCUCUUCCUCAUGUGGAAAGAACCGUUUCACCCCAGCUGCUGGGGCACCCGCCCUCUGCUUCUUCACUUGGUGGUGUUUUUAUUUAUGAACAGCCUUAAAGCCUUUUCGUAAGCUAGUUAUAUAUAAAUCACACGAAAAUGAAAUGUUCCCUCAAGAAACAGGUGACCUGGCUGAGUCCACGACGUAACUAGCGCGUACACCUGCAGACCCUCCUGACAGACGCCCAGGGUUUCAGAUCCACACCAGCCGACGCCGUCCACUCGUGUAACCCAGAGUCUGCAGCAGGUCUGCCCAACCCCCCGUGGGUCCCUCAGCGCCCCUGGGGAGAGGGAAGGACUGCAGGGUUUCCAGCCUCUCUUUAGAACACAUUCUUGGCUAAAGAGUUGAGACCAACAAGAGGAGGAUUGUGACCCACAAGCUCUCAGAGUUAGACUUCUGCUUCUCAAAAUCCAACCAUUCCUUCAAGCCUUCCAGCCUACCAACACCACUCCAGGUUCCUCUCAUGUACUGUGUUUUCUCACAGCAUUUUUA
This 1239-nucleotide long non-coding RNA is filed under the name Equus asinus (donkey). RNAcentral's name for it is "lncRNA (ENSEASG00005037051.1)". Lineage: Eukaryota; Metazoa; Chordata; Mammalia; Perissodactyla; Equidae. The record is from RNAcentral.